Molecule: unclassified non-coding RNA, 633 nt
Filed under: Hevea brasiliensis (rubber tree)
Lineage: Eukaryota; Viridiplantae; Streptophyta; Magnoliopsida; Malpighiales; Euphorbiaceae
Source: RNAcentral
GCAAUUCCUAUAUUGUGGGAACCUAUAAUAUUCAACAACAACUCCUGUUAGGAAAAAGACAGAACAGAAAGGAGGCAUUAUAGCCCUGAAUAAAAAUUUAUUAUAUUUAACACGAUACAAAUGACACCAACUUACAAGUCUCUAAAUUUUUAUCAACAUUUGAUACCAAAUUACAAAACUUCCAUUUAUAGGGAACAUACAUAUAAAAACACGUAUGGAAGUAUCCAUCUGCCCAUGCGAUAGCUUGUAGCAAGAUACUCAAAUGGAGAGAUUCCAGAUAUGUCUAUAUAUUCACGGAAAUUUUAUCAUCUCCAGCGGUUUUAUAAGCAAUACAAAUUGGUGCAUUGUUAUUGAUCCAUCUAGCAUGAAAUACUUCUGUCUAGUGACAUUUCAAACACUUUGUUGACUGCAACUCCAAUUUCCAGCUAUAUUAGACCUCCAGAGAUUUUAUGUACAGCUCCACAAUUCUAAGUUUUAGUUACUCAAUGUUAAGUGGUAUUCUAAACCUUCAUGGUUUUUUUUAUCAUUUAUUGAAGACUUCCUCAUCAGAAACACAAAAGCAGCCAAUACACCAUGUACUAGCAACUACUUGGCAGAAUAAAAUCAACAAACCUUUUAGAAUCAUCUCUACUG